RNAcentral lists this ribosomal RNA (619 nucleotides) under uncultured bacterium. RNAcentral describes it as "bacterial SSU rRNA". The stretch from base 1 to 522 matches the Rfam family "Bacterial small subunit ribosomal RNA", at positions 338 to 873 of the family's 1533-position model. The record is from RNAcentral.
CCUACGGGAGGCAGCAGUGGGGAAUAUUGCACAAUGGGCGCAAGCCUGAUGCAGCAACGCCGCGUGAGGGACGACGGCCUUCGGGUUGUAAACCUCUUUUAGUAGGGAAGAAGCGAAAGUGACGGUACCUGCAGAAAAAAGCACCGGCUAACUACGUGCCAGCAGCCGCGGUAAUACGUAGGGUGCAAGCGUUAUCCGGAAUUAUUGGGCGUAAAGAGCUCGUAGGCGGUUUGUCGCGUCUGCUGUGAAAACUGGAGGCUCAACCUCCAGCCUGCAGUGGGUACGGGCAAACUAGAGUGCGGUAGGGGAGAUUGGAAUUCCUGGUGUAGCGGUGGAAUGCGCAGAUAUCAGGAGGAACACCGAUGGCGAAGGCAGAUCUCUGGGCCGUAACUGACGCUGAGGAGCGAAAGCAUGGGGAGCGAACAGGAUUAGAUACCCUGGUAGUCCAUGACGUAACGUAGGUCGCUAGAUGUGGGACGACUCUACGGUUCCGUUCGUCGCNGCUACGCAUAGUCGCCCGCCGUCGGGAGUACGGCCGCCGACGGACGUAAACGUUAAACGUAGUAAGUUAGUUACGGUCGUUGAGACGUUCGCCGACGGACGACGACGAGGGAGGAGG